Molecule: ribosomal RNA, 497 nt
Filed under: uncultured bacterium
Lineage: Bacteria
Description: partial 16S ribosomal RNA
Rfam family: Bacterial small subunit ribosomal RNA
Source: RNAcentral
GAUGAACGCUGGCGGCGUGCCUAAUACAUGCAAGUCGAGCGAACACACGAUGAGCUCUCUCCUUUGACGUUAGCGGCGGACGGGCGAGUAACACGUACAUCACCUACUUCUAAUACUGGGAUAAAUUCGGGAAACCGGAUAUAAUACUAGCUAAUAUAUCCUACCGAUUGGUUCAAUAGUUAAACACGCUUUUCCUGUCUCCUUUAGCUGAUUUCGCGUCGGAUUAGCUACUUGGUAAGGUAACGGCUCACCAACGCUACGAUGCGUAGCCGACCUGAGAGGAUGAUCAGCCACACUGGAACUGAGACACGGUCCAGACUCCUACGGGAGGCAGCAGUGGGGAAUAUUCGACAAUGGGCGAAAGCCUGACGGAGCAAUGCCGCGUGAGUGAUGAAGGUCUUCGGAUUGUAAAGCUCUGUUAUUAGGGAAGAAAAAAAGUAGAAUAAACCACGGACGUUUUGACGGUACCUAAUCAGAAAGCAACGGCUAACUUCGUG